AUGGACACUUCUCCAGGCUUUGUGACAGCAAUACUCCUCUUAUUUGGGGCUGCUGGCAAGACCCAAGUGGAGCAGAGUCCUAAGUCCCUGGUUGUCCUGCAAGGAGAGAACUGCAUCCUUCAUUGCAAUUACACUGUGAGCCCUGCUAACAACUUAAGGUGGUACAGACAAGACACAGGCAGAGGUAUUGUGUCUCUGGCACUCAUGACUUACAUAGAAAACAAAAAGUCAAAUGGAAGAUAUUCAGCAAUUCUGGAUGCAAAUGCUAAGAACAGCACCCUGCAUAUCACAGCCGCCCAGCUGGAGGACACAGCCUUCUACAUCUGUGUGGUCGGUGCACCGUGCUCCACAGGGGUGAGCAGCCAGCAGAAGUUGCAGCAGAACCCAGAAUUCCUCAGUGUCCCAGAAGGAACCAUGGCUUCUUUCAACUGCACUUUCAGUGAUGGCAAUUCUGAUGACUUCAGGUGGUACAGACAGCAGCCUGGGAAAGGCCCCGAAUUGCUCGCGUCUAUAUUCUCUAGUGGAGAAACAAAAGAAGGUAGAUUCACAAUUCACCUAAACAAAGACAGCAGGCAAGUUUCUCUGCACAUCAGAGUCUCCCAGCCCAGUGAUUCAGCUGUCUAUUUUUGUGCAGUGAGAACACAGUGCUCCCCAGGCACCUAG
Microtus ochrogaster (prairie vole) is the source of this 663-nucleotide non-coding RNA. The record is from the annotation of a RefSeq genome assembly. Lineage: Eukaryota; Metazoa; Chordata; Mammalia; Rodentia; Cricetidae.